GGAAGGAUCAUUACAAGUGAAGCCGGGAAACCGGAUUCUCAAACCACUGUGAACCAAACUCUCCGUUGCUUGGCGGGUGAAAACCUCUUCUGGAGGCUGCCUACCCGGCGCACCCGCCAAGUUUUUCAAACCUUCCGUCGAUGAACGUCUGAUUUUUAUAUUCUUAAUUGAAAAUACAACUUUCAACAAUGGAUCUCUUGGCUCCGGCAUCGAUGAAGAACGCAGCGAAAUGCGAUAGCUAGUGUGAAUUGCAGAUUUCAGUGAAUCAUCGAGUUUUUGAACGCACAUUGCGCCCCUUGGUAUUCCUCGGGGCAUGCCUAUUCGAGCGUCGUUUACCCCCCUCAAGCCUGGCUUGGUGUUGGAGCGCGCCGCGAAAGCGGCGGCUCUCGAAAUCAUCGGCGGUGCCGUGCGGCCUGGAACGCAGCAAACAUGCAGACCAGCCGCUCUACGCCUGCCGGACAAGCGUGUUCUUACGCACACCUUUUACCACUUGACCUCGAAUUAGGUAGGGAUACCCGCUGAACUUAAGCAUAUCAAUAAGCGGAGGAAAAGAAACCAACAGGGAUUGCCUCAGUAACGGCGAGUGAAGCGGCAACAGCUCAAAUUUGAAAUCUGGCGCUUUCAGCGUCCGAGUUGUAAUUUGUAGAGGAUGCUUCGGCGUCGGCGCCACCUAAAGUUCCUUGGAACGGGACGUCAAAGAGGGUGAGAGCCCCGUGUCUGGGUGGAUGACUUCGCCAUGUGAAGCUCCUUCGACGAGUCGAGUUGUUUGGGAAUGCAGCUCAAAAUGGGAGGUAUAUUUCUUCCAAAGCUAAAUACCGGCCGGAGACCGAUAGUGCACAAGUAGAGUGAUCGAAAGAUGAAAAGCACUUUGGAAAGAGAGUCAAACAGCGCGUGAAAUUGUUGAAAGGGAAGCGCUUGCGGUCAGACUUGGCCGCCGUUGCUCGGCGGGACCUGCGUCCCGUUUGCUCUUCGGCGGUCAGGCCAGCAUCGACUUGGGCGGCUGGAUAAAGGCCGCGGGAACGUGGCUCUUCGGAGUGUUAUAGCCCGCGGUGGAAUGCAGCCUGCCUGGGUCGAGGUCUGCGCAUCUGCUAGGAUGCUGGCGUAAUGGCCCCAAGCGGCCCGUCUUGAAACACGGACCAAGGAGUCUAACAUUCGUGCGAGUGUUCGGGCGUUAAACCCGUGCGCGCAAUGAAAGUGAACGUUGGUGGGAACUUUUGUGCACCAUCGACCGAUCCUAAUGUCUUCGGAUGGAUUUGAGUAUGAGCACGUAUGUUGGGACCCGAAAGAUGGUGAACUAUGCCUAAGCAGGGCGAAGCCAGAGGAAACUCUGGUGGAGGCUCGCAGCGGUUCUGACGUGCAAAUCGAUCGUCAAAUUUGGGUAUAGGGGCGAAAGACUAAUCGAACCAUCUAGUAGCUGGUUCCUGC
This 1425-nucleotide unclassified non-coding RNA is filed under the name uncultured Acrospermales. RNAcentral's name for it is "sequence contains 18S rRNA gene, ITS1, 5.8S rRNA gene, ITS2, 28S rRNA gene". The stretch from base 492 to 1425 matches the Rfam family "Eukaryotic large subunit ribosomal RNA", at positions 1 to 961 of the family's 3401-position model. The record is from RNAcentral. Lineage: Eukaryota; Fungi; Ascomycota; Dothideomycetes; Acrospermales.